AGCAUAUGCUUGACUUGGAGAUUAAGCCAUGCAUGUCUAAGUAUAAGUUAUAUAUGGCGAAACUGCGAAUGGCUCAUUAAAACAGUUAUAAUUUAUUUGGUGAUUUUAUUACAUGGAUAACCGUGGGAAACUAGGGCUAAUACAUGAAAGGCUGUAUUUAUUAGUCUUAAAUCAAUAUAGUCAGCUAUAUUGUAAGGAAUUAUAAUAACUUUUCGGAGCGCAGUAAAAUGCGCCACACCAUAUAAGUUUCUGCCCUAUCAGCUCUCGAUGGUAGUGUAUUGGACUACCAUGGCAAUCACGGGUAACGGGGAAUUGGGGUUCGAUUCCGGAGAGGGAGCCUGAGAAACGGCUACCAUUUCUAAGGAAGGCAGCAGGCGCGUAAAUUACCCAAUCCUGACUAAGGGAGGUAGUUAAUGGAAAUAAUGCAUUCGGCUCUAUGAGCUCUGAAUAUGUAAUGAGUUGAACUUAAUCUACUCUUUGAAUCCUAUUAGAGGGCAAGUCUGGUGCCAGCAGCCGCGGUAAUUCCAGCUCUAAUAGCGUAUAUUAAUGUUGUUGCAGUUAAAAAGCUCGUAGUUGAAAUUCCGGCGGUUUCCGCCUGUCUGGGAUUCUUUGGAUCAUGAAUAAUGUUUUAAUGAAUGCAAGACCAGACUUUACUGUGAACAAAAUAAAGUGCUCAAAGCAGGCAAUAGCUUGAAUAAUCUAGCAUGGAAUAAUAUAAUAUGACUUUAUUCAUUUUAUUGGUCAUUGGAUGAAGUAAUGAUUAACAGGAACAGUUGGGGGCAUUCGUAUUUAAUAGUCAGAGGUGAAAUUCAUAGAUUUAUUAAAGACGAACUAAUGCGAAAGCAUUUGCCAAGGAUGUUUUCAUUAAUCAAGAACGAAAGUUAGGGUAUCGAAGACGAUCAGAUACCGUCGUAGUCCUAACCAUAAACUAUACCGACUAGGGAUUGGUAGGGUAUAACUCUAUCAGCACCUAAUGAGAAAUCAAAGUCUUUGGGUUCUUGGGGGAGUAUGGUCGCAAGGCUGAAACUUAAAGGAAUAGACGGAAGCGCACUACCAGGAGUGGAGUCUGCGGCUUAAUUUGAUUCAACACGGGGAAACUUACCAGGGCAACAUGUCGAUAGGAUUGACAGAUUGAUAGCUUUUUCUUGAUCCGAUACUUUGUGGUGCAUGGCCGUUCUUAGUUGGUGGAGUGAUUUGUCAGGUUAAUUCCCUUAACGAACGAGACCUUAACCUGCUAAAUAGAAAGUUCUAAAAUCUAGUUCUUUUCUUCUUAGAGGGACUACUGAUUCCAAGUAAGUGGAAGUUUGAGGCAAUAACAGGUCCGUGAUGCCCUUAGACGUUCUGGGCCGCACGCGUACUACAAUGAUACAAGCAAUAAGUCAACCUAGUCCGAAAGGAGAUGGGUAAUCUUUAUAAACUGUAUCGUGCUUGGGAUAGAUCUUUGCAAUUAUGGAUCUUGAACGAGGAACUCCUAGUAAGCAUGGGUCAUCAACCCAUGUUGAUUACGUCCCUGCCCUUUGUACACACCGCCCGCCGCUUCUACCGAUUCGAGUGGUUCGACGAAUUCUCCGGACUGGCCUAGCCAGAAAGUUGUGUAAGUCAUAUCACUUAGAGGAAGAAUAAGGCGUAACAAGGUAUCU
RNAcentral lists this ribosomal RNA (1640 nucleotides) under uncultured eukaryote. RNAcentral describes it as "partial small subunit ribosomal RNA". It matches the Rfam family "Eukaryotic small subunit ribosomal RNA". The record is from RNAcentral.